AACGAACGCUGGCGGCAGGCCUAACACAUGCAAGUCGAACGAGAAGCCACCUUCGGGUGGUGGACAGUGGCAGACGGGUGAGUAACGCGUGGGAACGUGCCUUUCGGUUCGGGAUAACCCAGGGAAACUUGGGCUAAUACCGGAUACGCCCUUCGGGGGAAAGAUUCAUUGCCGAAAGAUCGGCCCGCGUCGGAUUAGCUAGUUGGUGGGGUAAAAGCCUACCAAGGCGACGAUCCGUAGCUGGUCUGAGAGGAUGACCAGCCGCACUGGGAUUGAGACACGGCCCAGACUCCUACGGGAGGCAGCAGUGGGGAAUAUUGGACAAUGGGCGCAAGCCUGAUCCAGCCAUGCCGCGUGGGUGAAGAAGGCCUUAGGGUUGUAAACCCCUUUCAGCGGGGAAGAUAAUGACGGUACCCGCAGAAGAAGUCCCGGCUAACUCCGUGCCAGCAGCCGCGGUAA
RNAcentral lists this ribosomal RNA (459 nucleotides) under uncultured bacterium. RNAcentral's name for it is "partial 16S ribosomal RNA". It matches the Rfam family "Bacterial small subunit ribosomal RNA", at positions 29 to 523 of the family's 1533-position model. The record is from RNAcentral.